RNAcentral lists this ribosomal RNA (253 nucleotides) under uncultured bacterium. RNAcentral's name for it is "partial 16S ribosomal RNA". It matches the Rfam family "Bacterial small subunit ribosomal RNA", at positions 524 to 776 of the family's 1533-position model. The record is from RNAcentral.
UACGUAGGGGGCAAGCGUUGUUCGGAUUUACUGGGCGUAAAGGGCGCGUAGGCGGCGUGACAAGUCACUUGUGAAAUCUCCGGGCUUAACUCGGAACGGUCAAGUGAUACUGUCGUGCUAGAGUGCAGAAAGGGCAACUGGAAUUCUUGGUGUAGCGGUGAAAUGCGUAGAUAUCAAGAGGAACACCAGAGGCGAAGGCGAGUUGCUAGGCUGACACUGACGCUGAGGCGCGAAAGCUAGGGGAGCGAACGGG